AAUCAACGCUGGCGGCGUGCCUCAGACAUGCAAGUCGAACGCUGCUGUUCGCCUUCGGGUGGACAGCGGAGUGGCGCACGGGUGAGUAACACGUAGGUAAUCUACCUUUGGGUGGGGAAUAACAGCCGGAAACGGCUGCUAAUACCGCAUAAUGCAGCGGCAUCACAUGAUGACAGUUGUUAAAGCGAGGGAUCGUAAGACCUCGCGCCUGAAGAGGAGCCUGCGGCAGAUUAGGUAGUUGGUGAGGUAAUGGCUCACCAAGCCUGCGAUCUGUAACCGGCCUGAGAGGGCGGUCGGUCACACUGACACUGACAUACGGGUCAGACUCCUACGGGAGGCAGCAGUCGGGAA
This 351-nucleotide ribosomal RNA is filed under the name uncultured bacterium. RNAcentral's name for it is "bacterial SSU rRNA". It matches the Rfam family "Bacterial small subunit ribosomal RNA", at positions 32 to 361 of the family's 1533-position model. The record is from RNAcentral.